This is a non-coding RNA of 363 nucleotides. It matches the Rfam family "Bacterial RNase P class A". From Rfam's summary of the family: Ribonuclease P (RNase P) is a ubiquitous endoribonuclease, found in archaea, bacteria and eukarya as well as chloroplasts and mitochondria. The record is from Rfam.
AGCGAUGGACCGGCUGCCGCGCCGCGCGAAGCUUUUGCUUCCGGGUGAGGAAAGUCCGGGCUCCGCAGGGCAUGAUGCCGGGUAACGCCCGGGCGCUUCGCUCCAAAGGGCGAAGCGACAGAGAGCGCAGCAGAAAAUAUACCGCGAACCCAUUGGGCCGCAAGGGUGAAAAGGCGGGGCAAGAGCCCACCGCCCAGGCAGCAAUGCCUGGGGCACUGCAAACCUCAUCAGGAGCAAAGCCAAGCAGCAGUUGGAGGGCCCCUUCAAGACUGCGGGUAGGCUGCAAAGAGGGAAUCCGCGAGGAUCCCCCAAGAUAGAUGACAGCCAAUCAUACAGAACCCGGCUUAUGGUUCAUCGCUUUUU